This 395-nucleotide long non-coding RNA is filed under the name Homo sapiens (human). RNAcentral describes it as "HSALNT0265292". Lineage: Eukaryota; Metazoa; Chordata; Mammalia; Primates; Hominidae. The record is from RNAcentral.
CAGAACAACAAAUGGUCCUGAACACUAGGAGAAAACCUUUCCGGCACAAUUGUUGACUAUGAUGGACGGGUACUUGCGGCUGAGCCAGCGGAAGAACGCCGGGACUCCCAUAGCGGCACACGGCUGGAGGCGGCGGCCGACCGGCUGACGAGCGUAACCAAAGAGACGGGAGCAGCGGCAGAGGGCACCAGCACUUCCUCCCACGUGCGCGCUGGAGAACGGAAGUGACGUCACGGCGCCGCCGCCGGGGAAGCUGGGAAGGAGGCUUCGCUGGAUGAGGGAGCGGCGGAAAAGGGCCUUGCCGGGCUGUUUGUGGGAGGCGGAGUCCGGCGGCGGACCGGGUGGCGAAGGCUGCAGCUCGCCCUCGGUGGUCCCAGCCCCGGAGCGCGAGGCCG